GUCCUUUAGAGUAGAAUUUAAGGUCUAACCUGCUCACUGAUAAUUUUAAGAGCCGCAGUAAAUUGACUGUGCAAAGGUAGCAUAAUCAUUAGUUUUUUAAUUGAAAGCUUGUAUGAAUGGUUGGACGAGAUAUAAUCUGUCUUUAUUUUAUUAAUUGAAUUUAAUUUUUAAGUUAAAAAGCUUAAAUUUUUUUAAAAGACGAGAAGACCCUAUAGAUCUUUAUAUAAUUAUUUAUUUAUUUUUUAAGGAUUUUUAAUUUUUAAAUAAAAAUUUAUAUUUUAUUGGGGUAAUAAAAAGAUUUAAUUAAUUCUUUUUGAAAAUAUAUUGAUUAGUAAUUUUAAUGAUCCAAUAAUUUUGAUUAUAAGAUUAAGUUACCUUAGGGAUAACAGCGUAAUUUUUUUAGAGAGUUCAUAUCGAUAAAAAAGUUUGCGACCUCGAUGUUGGAUUAAAAUUUAUUUUAGGUGUAGUAGUUUAAAUAUUUAGUCUGUUCGACUAUUAAAAUUUU
Molecule: ribosomal RNA, 505 nt
Filed under: Bidessini sp. MB1173
Lineage: Eukaryota; Metazoa; Arthropoda; Insecta; Coleoptera; Dytiscidae
Description: partial 16S ribosomal RNA
Rfam family: Bacterial large subunit ribosomal RNA (bases 382-505)
Source: RNAcentral